UACGUAGGGGGCAAGCGUUAUCCGGAUUUACUGGGUGUAAAGGGGGCGCAGACGGCAGUGCAAGCCAGGAGUGAAAGCCCGGGGCCCAACCCCGGGACUGCUCUUGGAACUGCAAAGCUGGAGUGCAGGAGGGGCAGGCGGAAUUCCUGGUGUAGCGGUGAAAUGCGUAGAUAUCAGGAGGAACACCGGUGGCGAAGGCGGCCUGCUGGACUGUGACUGACGUUGAGGCCCGAAAGCGUGGGGAGCAAACAGG
Molecule: unclassified non-coding RNA, 253 nt
Filed under: uncultured Lachnospiraceae bacterium
Lineage: Bacteria; Bacillati; Bacillota; Clostridia; Lachnospirales; Lachnospiraceae
Description: contains 16S-23S intergenic spacer region
Rfam family: Bacterial small subunit ribosomal RNA
Source: RNAcentral